This 301-nucleotide ribosomal RNA is filed under the name uncultured bacterium. RNAcentral's name for it is "partial 16S ribosomal RNA". It matches the Rfam family "Bacterial small subunit ribosomal RNA", at positions 509 to 807 of the family's 1533-position model. The record is from RNAcentral.
CAGUCGCCACGGUAAUACGAAGGGGACUAGCGUUGUUCGGAAUUACUGGGCGUAAAGGGCGCGUAGGCGGCCAUUCAAGUUAGAUGUGAAAGCCCUGGGCUCAACCUAGGAAUUGCAUUUGAUACUGUUUGGCUUGAGUUCGGGAGAGGUGAGUGGAAUUCCCAGUGUAGAGGUGAAAUUCGUAGAUAUUGGGAAGAACGCCAGUGGCGAAGGCGGCUCACUGGACCGACACUGACGCUGAGGCGCGAAAGCGUGGGGAGCAAACAGGAUUAGAUACCCCCGUAGUCCCUGUCUCUUAUAC